This 274-nucleotide ribosomal RNA is filed under the name uncultured bacterium. RNAcentral describes it as "partial 16S ribosomal RNA". It matches the Rfam family "Archaeal small subunit ribosomal RNA", at positions 473 to 747 of the family's 1478-position model. The record is from RNAcentral.
AAACCAGCACCUCAAGUGGUCAGGAUGAUUAUUUGGCCUAAAGCAUCCGUAGCCUGCUCUGUAAGUUUUCGGUUAAAUCUGUACGCUUAACGUACAGGCUGCCGGGAAUACUGCAGAGCUAGGGAGUGGGAGAGGUAGACGGUACUCGGGAGGAAGUGGUAAAAUGCUUUGAUCUCUCGAUGACCACCUGUGGCGAAGGCGGUCUACCAGAACACGUCCGACGGUGAGGGAUGAAAGCUAGGGGAGCAAACCGGAUUAGAAACCCCAGUAGUCC